RNAcentral lists this ribosomal RNA (459 nucleotides) under uncultured Treponema sp. RNAcentral describes it as "partial 16S ribosomal RNA". It matches the Rfam family "Bacterial small subunit ribosomal RNA", at positions 341 to 792 of the family's 1533-position model. The record is from RNAcentral. Lineage: Bacteria; Pseudomonadati; Spirochaetota; Spirochaetia; Treponematales; Treponemataceae.
ACGGGAGGCAGCAGCUAAGAAUAUUCCGCAAUGGACGAAAGUCUGACGGAGCGACGCCGCGUGGAUGAUGAAGGCCGGAAGGUUGUAAAAUCCUUUUAAGUGUGAGGAAUAAGUCAGGUAGGGAAUGACCUGAUGGUGACUGUAGAUAAUGAAUAAGCACCGGCUAAUUACGUGCCAGCAGCCGCGGUAACACGUAAGGUGCGAGCGUUAUUCGGAAUUAUUGGGCGUAAAGGGCAUGUAGGCGGUUUUGCUAGCUUGGUGUGAAAUCCCGGGGCUUAACCCCGGAACUGCAUUGAGAACUGCAUGACUAGAGUCAAUGAGGGGAAACCGGAAUUCCAGGUGUAGGGGUGAAAUCUGUAGAUAUCUGGAAGAACACCAAUGGCGAAGGCAGGUUUCUAGCAUAUGACUGACGCUGAGGUGCGAAGGUGCGGGGAUCAAACAGGAUUAGAUACCCUGGUA